RNAcentral lists this ribosomal RNA (253 nucleotides) under uncultured bacterium. RNAcentral's name for it is "partial 16S ribosomal RNA". It matches the Rfam family "Bacterial small subunit ribosomal RNA", at positions 524 to 776 of the family's 1533-position model. The record is from RNAcentral.
UACAGAGGUCUCAAGCGUUGUUCGGAUUCAUUGGGCGUAAAGGGUGCGUAGGCGGCGCGGUAAGUCGGGUGUGAAAUCUUGGAGCUUAACUCCGAAACUGCAUUCGAUACUGCCGUGCUUGAGGACUGGAGAGGAGACUGGAAUUUACGGUGUAGCGGUGAAAUGCGUAGAUAUCGUGAGGAAGACCAGUGGCGAAGGCGGGUCUCUGGACAGUUCCUGACGCUGAGGCGCGAAGGCCAGGGGAGCAAACGGG